Molecule: ribosomal RNA, 250 nt
Filed under: uncultured bacterium
Lineage: Bacteria
Description: partial 16S ribosomal RNA
Rfam family: Bacterial small subunit ribosomal RNA
Source: RNAcentral
UACGGAGGGUGCGAGCGUUGUCCGGAUUUAUUGGGUUUAAAGGGUGCGUAGGUGGCUGUUUAAGUCAGUGGUGAAAUACGGUUGCUCAACAAUCGAGGUGCCAUUGAUACUGAAUAGCUUGAAAUAAUUGGAGGCUGCCGGAAUGGAUGGUGUAGCGGUGAAAUGCAUAGAUAUCAUCCAGAACACCGAUUGCGAAGGCAGGUGGCUACGAUUGGUUUGACACUGAGGCACGAAAGCAUGGGGAGCAAAC